AUUCGGAUCUCUAUCUUGGUGAUACGAAGAUCAAGUGUGCAUGAUCUUGAAUCAAUCCUAUAAAAGAAAAGCUAAAGAUGAUGAUGUUGUUAGAGGUUCUUCGGAGUUGCAAUAACAUAAGCAUGUUGUAUUGUCGGCCACCUUAAUUUCGAGUUUUUUCUGCUUCGUCGUUGUCUUCUUCUCUCACGACACUUAUCAACAUAAACAGCAACUUAUGUCUCUACUAUGUUUUGAUCCUUAGUACCCCAAAAAUAUUAUUUUAAAGCAAAUCAACAUAAUCUUAAUCAAAUGUCUCUCUUUUCAUUAUUCAUAACAUUUUUUUUAGUCUUUAAAACCACGCGCCUUAAUGUCAAACAG
Long non-coding RNA from Arabidopsis thaliana (thale cress), 357 nucleotides. RefSeq annotates it as other RNA. The transcript has a single exon. Lineage: Eukaryota; Viridiplantae; Streptophyta; Magnoliopsida; Brassicales; Brassicaceae. The record is from RefSeq.